CCUACGGGUGGCAGCAGUAGGGAAUUUUCGGCAAUGGGGGAAACCCUGACCGAGCAACGCCGCGUGAACGAAGACGUUAUUCGUAAUGUAAAGUUCUUUUAACAGGGAAGAAAGAGAAGUUUGACGGUACCUGAGGAAUAAGCUCCGGCUAACUACGUGCCAGCAGCCGCGGUAAUACGUAGGGAGCGAGCGUUAACCGGAUUUAUUGGGCGUAAAGGGUGCGUAGAUGGCAUAGUAAGUCUGUUGUAAAAAUGCUGGGCUCAACCCAGUAGGGCAAAAGAUACUGCAAAGCUAGAGUAUGACAGAGGCAAGUGGAACUACAGGUGUAGCGGUAAAAGGCGUAAAUAUAUGUAAGAACACCAGUGGCGAAGGCGGCUUGCUGGGUCGAUACUGACAUUGAAGCACGAAAGCGUGGGUAUCGAACAGGAUUAGAUACCCCAGUAGGC
Molecule: ribosomal RNA, 446 nt
Filed under: uncultured bacterium
Lineage: Bacteria
Description: partial 16S ribosomal RNA
Rfam family: Bacterial small subunit ribosomal RNA
Source: RNAcentral